Molecule: non-coding RNA, 499 nt
Filed under: uncultured Glomus
Lineage: Eukaryota; Fungi; Glomeromycota; Glomeromycetes; Glomerales; Glomeraceae
Also listed under: 1 other name
Description: SSU rRNA
Rfam family: Eukaryotic small subunit ribosomal RNA
Source: RNAcentral
CCAAUAGCGUAUAUUAAAGUUGCUGCAGUUAAAAAGCUCGUAGUUGAAUUUCGGGACCAUCAUGUCGGUCGUGCCUCGGUACGUACUGGCAUUGUUGGUUUCUCCCUUCUGACGAACCAUGAUGUCAUUUAUUUGGUGUUGUGGGGAAUCAGGACUGUUACUUUGAAAAAAUUAGAGUGUUUAAAGCAGGCUCACGCUUGAAUACAUUAGCAUGGAAUAAUGAAAUAGGACGUUUGAUUCUAUUUUGUUGGUUUCUAGGAUCGACGUAAUGAUUAAUAGGGAUAGUUGGGGGCAUUAGUAUUCAAUUGUCAGAGGUGAAAUUCUUGGAUUUAUUGAAGACUAACUACUGCGAAAGCAUUUGCCAAGGAUGUUUUCAUUAAUCAAGAACGAAAGUUAGGGGAUCGAAGACGAUCAGAUACCGUCGUAGUCUUAACCAUAAACUAUGCCGACUAGGGAUCGGAUGAUGUUAAUUUUUUAAUGACUCAUUCGGCGCCUUACG